This 464-nucleotide ribosomal RNA is filed under the name uncultured bacterium. RNAcentral's name for it is "partial 16S ribosomal RNA". It matches the Rfam family "Bacterial small subunit ribosomal RNA", at positions 29 to 507 of the family's 1533-position model. The record is from RNAcentral.
AUGCACGCUGGCGGCGUGCUUAACACAUGCCAGUCGAACGGAAAGGCUCCUGCUUGCAGGGGUACUCGAGUGGCGAACGGGUGAGUAACACGUGGGUGAUCUGCCCUGCACUUCGGGAUAAGCCUGGGAAACUGGGUCUAAUACCGGAUAGGACCACAUUUUGGAUGGUGUGGUGGAAAGUUUUUCGGUGUGGGAUGAGCUCGCGGCCUAUCAGCUUGUUGGUGGGGUAAUGGCCUACCAAGGCGUCGACGGGUAGCCGGCCUGAGAGGGUGUACGGCCACAUUGGGACUGAGAUACGGCCCAGACUCCUACGGGAGGCAGCAGUGGGGAAUAUUGCACAAUGGGCGCAAGCCUGAUGCAGCGACGCCGCGUGGGGGAUGACGGCCUUCGGGUUGUAAACUCCUUUCGCUAGGGACGAAGCGCAAGUGACGGUACCUGGAGAAGAAGCACCGGCUAACUACGUG